GCUACUGGGUAGCGCUCGCCCCUGCCUCCCCCCCACCUCUCUUCACAAGAGAGGUUUGGACUGCAGCCCCAUAGAAUGGCCUGUGCAUUCUUUCAGCUGGGGAAGUUUCCAGAUAGCACCCCAACUUCCCUGCCAUGGCCACUGUCUUCUCCUUUUUAACAGAAAUCUCUUCUGUUUUCCAUUCUCUUCUUACCAGGAGGUAGUUAUUGUUGCUAACUGUGCAGGACAGUGUGGCUCUUUAUCUGAGGUUUUUGUUUGUUUUUUGCGAUAUGCAGGCCUCUCACUGUUGUGACCUCUCCCGUUGCAGAGCACAGGCUCCGGACGCGCAGGCUCAGCGGCCAUGGCUCACGGCCCCAGCCGCUCUGCAGCAUGUGGGAUCUUCCCGGACCGGGGCACGAACUCGUGUCCCCUGCAUCGGCAGGCGGACUCUCAACCACUGUGCCACCAGGGAAGCCCCUCUCUGAGUUUUUAAAAACUGUUGCAGACGUGCAAGUUGGCCUGACUGCCAAUAAGCAGAUGGGUCCAUGUGAAUCCACUCCCCCCGUCCUCAGGAGCACCUGCAAUGGAACAGCCGUAUGCCACGGGGACCCGCGGGGCAUCACAGCGAGAGGGGGUCACGAAGGACCACACGUAGCAGUGGGGCCUGUGUCUGGUGAUUUGGGGAGCGUUUAAGGAAGCCGGGUGUCGCUCUGGAUUGGAUGUUGUCAGGAAGCGGGGAAGCAAGGCGGGGCACUAUCGCUGGCCACUGCCACCUGCCCUGGAGGACACAAGCUGUUGAGCAGGACCGGCUACAUAAUUUGCAGGCCCAGUACAAAAUGGAAACACGGGGCCCCUUGUUCAAAAAUCAUUCACAAUUUCAAGACAGCGAGAGCAGAAAGUUAAAGCAAGUGCAGGGCUGUUCUGAGCCUGAGGAGGCCUGUGGAGCCUUGCUGCCCCUGCAGUGUGGCAGACAAGGACAACUGCGUUCCCGGGGACCUGACUCCGGAGGAAUGACCAGAACUGGAGAGCAUCCCAAGAAGCAAGCAAGAGCUGCAGUCUGAAGAAUAGAGACUGAAGGCUGAGAUAGCAGAAGAGCUAUGGAAAUUGAGGACCCUGGGAUCCACAGAAGAAAGGAAAACAUGCAGGGCAACAAACAGGUGGCCUGGGCUGGAGAAAAUUAAUGUGGGGGCUGAAAGGGGGCCCCGGUUCUUAACAGGAUGGUCUAUUAAAGGACACUUGUGAAGACACUGCCCAGUUCCUGUGGAAAGGUGAAGGACUCAGCAAAACAGCCACUAGGGACUGUUUGCAGGAGAGAUUAAGCUUCAUAUCUAGGUUCCUCCUGCGCUUGUGGAGGUACAAGAGUUCACUGAUCUAGACUUUGUCCAGCCAUUACAGCAAUUCCUGAGGAGCCUGGGAGCGCCUAGAGAGGCACAGAGGACUGAUGGGAUGAUGGAGGCAUUUGCCCAGUGAUACUGUCAGUGUCAUAAAGAGGGCUUUAGUGGCCAGACACUGAUGUUCUCUCCUUUGUCGCAUCUUGUUGAUCACUAGCUACAACCCCGAAGUCAAAGACAAGCUCACAGCGAAAAGGUUCACUGCCACGAAUGUAGACAUCAGUGGUGGACGAGCAACUCUAGAAGCUGUAAUUUCUCAAGUCAACAUUAACAACGUUUUCCUCUCACUUCUUCCCCAUUCCCAUUUUUCGCAAAAACGUAGGCAACUAAGUUGAAUACCCAAGAGCUUUCUGUUCUGUGCGGAAACGCAGAGCCGGCCCUGGCUAUAGAUAAUGUA
Molecule: long non-coding RNA, 1767 nt
Organism: Lagenorhynchus albirostris (white-beaked dolphin)
Lineage: Eukaryota; Metazoa; Chordata; Mammalia; Artiodactyla; Delphinidae
Exons: 3
Source: RefSeq, a predicted model, not a curated record